This 249-nucleotide ribosomal RNA is filed under the name Salmonella enterica subsp. enterica serovar Infantis. RNAcentral's name for it is "partial 16S ribosomal RNA". It matches the Rfam family "Bacterial small subunit ribosomal RNA", at positions 1 to 246 of the family's 1533-position model. Lineage: Bacteria; Pseudomonadati; Pseudomonadota; Gammaproteobacteria; Enterobacterales; Enterobacteriaceae. RNAcentral also lists the same sequence under 1 other name. The record is from RNAcentral.
AAAUUGAAGAGUUUGAUCAUGGCUCAGAUUGAACGCUGGCGGCAGGCCUAACACAUGCAAGUCGAACGGUAACAGGAAGCAGCUUGCUGCUCGGGUGACGAGUGGCGGACGGGUGAGUAAUGUCUGGGAAACUGCCUGAUGGAGGGGGAUAACUACUGGAAACGGUGGCUAAUACCGCAUAACGUCGCAAGACCAAAGAGGGGGACCUUCGGGCCUCUUGCCAUCAGAUGUGCCCAGAUGGGAUUAGCU